AGAGUUUGAUCCUGGCUCAGAACGAACGCUGGCGGCAGGCUUAACACAUGCAAGUCGAGCGCCGUAGCAAUACGGAGCGGCAGACGGGUGAGUAACGCGUGGGAAACUACCUCGAGGUACGGAACAACUCGGCGAAAGCUGAGCUAAUACCGUAUGAGCCCGAAAGGGGAAAGAUUUAUCGCCUUGGGAUGUGCCCGCGUAGGAUUAGCUAGUUGGUGGGGUAAUGGCCCACCAAGGCGACGAUCCUUAGCUGGUCUGAGAGGAUGAUCAGCCACACUGGGACUGAGACACGGCCCAGACUCCUACGGGAGGCAGCAGUGGGGAAUAUUGGACAAUGGGGGCAACCCUGAUCCAGCCAUGCCGCGUGAGUGAUGAAGGCCUUAGGGUUGUAAAGCUCUUUCGACGGGGAAGAUAAUGACGGUACCCGUAGAAGAAGCCCCGGCUAACUUCGUGCCAGCAGCCGCGGUAAUACGAAGGGGGCUAGCGUUGUUCGGAAUCACUGGGCGUAAAGCGCACGUAGGCGGGCCGUUAAGUCGGGGGUGAAAGCCUGGAGCUCAACUCCAGAACUGCCUUCGAUACUGGCGGCCUUGAGUCCGGGAGAGGUGAGUGGAACUCCUAGUGUAGAGGUGAAAUUCGUAGAUAUUAGGAAGAACACCAGUGGCGAAGGCGGCUCACUGGCCCGGUACUGACGCUGAGGUGCGAAAGCGAGGGGAGCAAACAGGAUUAGAUACCCUGGUAGUCCACGCCGUAAACGAUGGAAGCCAGCCGUUGGCCAGCAUGCUGGUCGGUGGCGCAGCUAACGCAUUAAGCUUCCCGCCUGGGGAGUACGGUCGCAAGUUUAAAACUUAAAUGAAUUGACGG
This 861-nucleotide ribosomal RNA is filed under the name uncultured bacterium. Its description in RNAcentral is "bacterial SSU rRNA". It matches the Rfam family "Bacterial small subunit ribosomal RNA", at positions 8 to 916 of the family's 1533-position model. The record is from RNAcentral.